AAUGAACGCUGGCGGCAUGCCUAACACAUGCAAGUCGAACGAAGGCUUCGGCCUUAGUGGCGCACGGGUGCGUAACGCGUGGGAAUCUGCCCUCAGGUUCGGAAUAACAGCGAGAAAUUGCUGCUAAUACCGGAUGAUAUCGCGAGAUCAAAGAUUUAUCGCCUGAGGAUGAGCCCGCGUAGGAUUAGCUAGUUGGUGUGGUAAAGGCGCACCAAGGCGACGAUCCUUAGCUGGUCUGAGAGGAUGAUCAGCCACACUGGGACUGAGACACGGCCCAGACUCCUACGGGAGGCAGCAGUGGGGAAUAUUGGACAAUGGGCGAAAGCCUGAUCCAGCAAUGCCGCGUGAGUGAUGAAGGCCUUAGGGUUGUAAAGCUCUUUUACCCGGGAUGAUAAUGACAGUACCGUAAGAAUAAGCACCGGCUAACUACGUGCCAGCCGCCGCAGUAA
This 449-nucleotide ribosomal RNA is filed under the name uncultured bacterium. RNAcentral describes it as "partial 16S ribosomal RNA". It matches the Rfam family "Bacterial small subunit ribosomal RNA", at positions 29 to 523 of the family's 1533-position model. The record is from RNAcentral.